This 465-nucleotide ribosomal RNA is filed under the name uncultured Klebsiella sp. Its description in RNAcentral is "bacterial SSU rRNA". It matches the Rfam family "Bacterial small subunit ribosomal RNA", at positions 338 to 795 of the family's 1533-position model. Lineage: Bacteria; Pseudomonadati; Pseudomonadota; Gammaproteobacteria; Enterobacterales; Enterobacteriaceae. The record is from RNAcentral.
CCUACGGGUGGCAGCAGUGGGGAAUAUUGCACAAUGGGCGCAAGCCUGAUGCAGCCAUGCCGCGUGUGUGAAGAAGGCCUUCGGGUUGUAAAGCACUUUCAGCGGGGAGGAAGGCGUUAAGGUUAAUAACCUUGUCGAUUGACGUUACCCGCAGAAGAAGCACCGGCUAACUCCGUGCCAGCAGCCGCGGUAGUACGGGGGGUGCAAGCGUUAAUCGGAAUUACUGGGCGUAAAGCGCACGCAGGCGGUCUGUCAAGUCGGAUGUGAAAUCCCCGGGCUCAACCUGGGAACUGCAUUCGAAACUGGCAGGCUAGAGUCUUGUAGAGGGGGGUAGAAUUCCAGGUGUAGCGGUGAAAUGCGUAGAGAUCUGGAGGAAUACCGGUGGCGAAGGCGGCCCCCUGGACAAAGACUGACGCUCAGGUGCGAAAGCGUGGGGAGCAAACAGGAUUAGAUACCCCGGUAGUC